This 853-nucleotide ribosomal RNA is filed under the name Keissleriella phragmiticola. Its description in RNAcentral is "partial large subunit ribosomal RNA". It matches the Rfam family "Eukaryotic large subunit ribosomal RNA", at positions 79 to 946 of the family's 3401-position model. The record is from RNAcentral. Lineage: Eukaryota; Fungi; Ascomycota; Dothideomycetes; Pleosporales; Lentitheciaceae.
CCUAGUAACGGCGAGUGAAGCGGCAACAGCUCAAAUUUGAAAUCUGGCCUCCCUUGGGGGUCCGAGUUGUAAUUUGCAGAGGGUGCUUUGGCGUCGGCAGCGGUCUAAGUUCCUUGGAACAGGACAUCACAGAGGGUGAGAAUCCCGUACGUGGUCGCCUGCCUUCGCCGUGUAAAGCCCCUUCGACGAGUCGAGUUGUUUGGGAAUGCAGCUCUAAAUGGGAGGUAAAUUUCUUCUAAAGCUAAAUACCGGCCAGAGACCGAUAGCGCACAAGUAGAGUGAUCGAAAGAUGAAAAGCACUUUGGAAAGAGAGUCAAACAGCACGUGAAAUUGUUGAAAGGGAAGCGCUUGCAGCCAGACUUGCUCGUAGUUGCUCAUCCGGGUCCGCCCGGAGCACUCUUCUGCGAGCAGGCCAGCAUCAGUUUGGGCGACCGGAUAAAGGCCUCUGUCAUGUACCUUCCCUCGGGAAGGCCUUAUAGGGGAGGCGUAAUGCGGCCAGCCCGGACUGAGGUCCGCGCAUCUGCUAGGAUGCUGGCGUAAUGGCUGUAAGCGGCCCGUCUUGAAACACGGACCAAGGAGUCUAACAUCUAUGCGAGUGUUUGGGUGUCAAGCCCGGGCGCGUAAUGAAAGUGAACGGAGGUGGGAACCCUCUCCGGGGGGUGCACCAUCGACCGAUCCUGAUGUCUUCGGAUGGAUUUGAGUAAGAGCAUAGCUGUUGGGACCCGAAAGAUGGUGAACUAUGCUUGAAUAGGGUGAAGCCAGAGGAAACUCUGGUGGAGGCUCGCAGCGGUUCUGACGUGCAAAUCGAUCGUCAAAUUUGGGCAUAGGGGCGAAAGACUAAUCGAACUAUCUA